GUACUUUCUUCACUUGAGUAAAUUCUCAAUGAGGAAACCACAUCACGUCUUUGUCGUGAUUAUUUCUCCCCGUUUUUCAGAGAGGAAGAGAUAAUGCUGACAGAGAUUGCAGAGAAAAGACUCGCUGAGAGAGCUGAUACAACAAACUUCACGCCUUAUGCCGGUGAUAUUAAACCCGAUUCGGAUUCCAUCUGCUGCUUCCAUACUAUAAUAGCAGGAAUCUUUCACACAGACAAGAAUCCAAAAGGAAGACACAGUGUCACACCCUAUAGCCUAAACCAGAUCUACUAAAGGCACACACCUCAACUGACAAACAGCCAUUGAAUAUUUAGACACAAACAAGAGAAAAUCUGCAGACGCUGGAAAUCCAAGCAACACACACAAAAUGCUAGAGGAACUCAACAGACCAGGUGCUGUCUGUGUGGAGUGUGCACGAUCUCCUUGUGAUCGCAGCAGUUUCUCCCAGGUGCUCCGGGUUCCUUCCAUAUCGCAAAGAUGUGCAGGUUGGUAAGUUAAUUGUUGUAAAUUCCCCCUAAUGUGGUUAGUCUGGUUAAAUAUGGGGAAACUGAUGACGAUGUGGAAGAAUAAGUAGGAUGAGUGAGGCUUAUGGUUUAUGGUUGGCUUACAGUCAAUGGGUCAAAGGCUCUGUUUUUUGUGCUGUACCUCUCUGUGACUCUGAUCUGAAAACUGUGAAAAAACAAUGUUAGGGAUUCUAAGAUUAAAAAUAUAAGUCUUACAUUUCGAAACUAAAAUGACAAUUAAGAAAAUCUUGGCAAUAUUUACAAAUUAGUAGAAGCAUUAACCUAAAGCAAAAGACUUGUAAAAAUAGUGUUAUAAAGGUGACAGAUCCCAUUGAAAUGAAUGAAGCAUAAAAAUUCUGUAGCAGAUGUGCGGAAGUCAGGAUUUGAGAGACUGAUUUUCAGUAUAGUGCCAGGGAGAUUGCCAAGGUAUUGGACUCCAGUAAUGCAUUGCAUGCAGAGUCCCGCAAGAGAGCUUAGCAAUGAUGCAUGGCAUGUAUUGCUCAGUAACACCUAUUCUUGCAGCAAGUCUGAAGAAAAUCAGAACGUAUUUCUGUAGGAAUGGCUGAACAUCAGUAGUGCAGAAUCUUUGGCCAAGCGCAGAGUGAUUUGGUCCAGUUAUUUGUCCACCUUUAGUGGAUAAAGAAAAGGCAAUUCAUUUUGUUUAGAAAACCACUUGCAAACUUCCAUUCAAAGUCUAUGAAAUGGAGAUUUCAAAACCCUGCCCUUUCCAAACACACCAGUUAUCUUUGCAAACUGCUUAGGCAAUGGUUUAACAUGAGCAAAGCUGCAGCUGUUCUAUGGUAUUCCACAUUUAAAAUACAAGCUUGAGUUAAAGGUUGCAAUCUCAUUUUAAGAGUUCAGAUAAUGGACAAGGUUUCCGAUUUAAUUCAAAAACUUCAAUUAGAUUAAAACUUCUGCCACACGUUUUCAAGUAUUCAUUGAAUUUUAUCAAUAAAAUAAUAUUUCCUCAGAUGACAUGCCUAUGCAGCUUUAUUAUUGAUCUUGGUUUCCUGAUGUUUGCAAGUCUGGGUGGUAUGCAAUAAUGUAUUUUUGUAAUUUUCAACUGAAUUACAAUGUCAAGUCACACUUGACAAUUAAGUACUUGUAAUUUAAAAUUCAUGUGGUAAUCUAUAUU
This is a long non-coding RNA of Hypanus sabinus (Atlantic stingray), 1656 nucleotides long. RefSeq lists it as uncharacterized. The record is from RefSeq and is a predicted model, not a curated record. Lineage: Eukaryota; Metazoa; Chordata; Chondrichthyes; Myliobatiformes; Dasyatidae. The transcript is spliced from 5 exons.